Silurus meridionalis is the source of this 442-nucleotide non-coding RNA. The record is from the annotation of a RefSeq genome assembly. Lineage: Eukaryota; Metazoa; Chordata; Actinopteri; Siluriformes; Siluridae.
CCCAACUGAAUUCCAGAGCUUCCAACAUCACAGAGUUUGAUUAUGGGGCUGAGCAUCAUUCAGCAGUGCAUUUUUAUACUCAUGUUAGCACAAGGUUUUUGCAGUGCUGAGAUCAGACUGGACCAGUCUCCUGCUGUGGUAAAGAAACCUGGAGAAACUGUGAUCUCCUGUAAAAUAAGUGGAUAUUCCAUGACUAGCUACAAUAUACACUGGAUACGACAGAAACCUGGGAAAACUCUAGAAUGGCUUGGCUGGAUGAGCACUGGCAACAAUCGAGGAACAUAUGCAGAGUCUGUGAAAAACCAGUUGACCUUCACAGAAGACGUCUCAGCAAACACACAGUAUUUAGAGGCCAAGAGUCUGAGGACAGAGGACACUGCGGUUUAUUACUGCGCCCGAUAAGCCACAGUGACUGGAACUGAGGAAGCAGCUGUACAAAAAC